UACGGAGGGGGCUAGCGUUGUUCGGAAUUACUGGGCGUAAAGCGCACGUAGGCGGCUUUGUAAGUUAGAGGUGAAAGCCCGGGGCUCAACUCCGGAAUUGCCUUUAAGACUGCAUCGCUAGAAUUGUGGAGAGGUGAGUGGAAUUCCGAGUGUAGAGGUGAAAUUCGUAGAUAUUCGGAAGAACACCAGUGGCGAAGGCGACUCACUGGACGCAUAUUGACGCUGAGGUGCGAAAGCGUGGGGAGCGAACAGG
RNAcentral lists this ribosomal RNA (253 nucleotides) under uncultured bacterium. Its description in RNAcentral is "partial 16S ribosomal RNA". It matches the Rfam family "Bacterial small subunit ribosomal RNA", at positions 524 to 776 of the family's 1533-position model. The record is from RNAcentral.